UAGUCAUAUGCUUGUCUCAAAGACUAAGCCAUGCAUGUCUAAGUAUAAACACUUUUAUACUGCGAAACUGCGAAUGGCUCAUUAAAUCAGUUAUAAUCUACUUGAUCGUAUAAUCUUACUUGGAUAACCGUAGUAAUUCUAGAGCUAAUACAUGCAAAAAGUCCUGACUGGCGACGGAAGGGAUGUAUUUAUUAGGUACAAAAUCAAUGCUGGCCAUUCCAAACUGCGGGUAAAACCGUGGGGUCAGAUUCCUUGAUGAUUCAUAAUAACUAAAC
RNAcentral lists this ribosomal RNA (275 nucleotides) under uncultured eukaryote. Its description in RNAcentral is "partial 18S ribosomal RNA". It matches the Rfam family "Eukaryotic small subunit ribosomal RNA", at positions 21 to 265 of the family's 1831-position model. The record is from RNAcentral.